UACUCCUGACUGACCGAUAGUGAACCAGUACCGUGAGGGAAAGGCGAAAAGAACCCCGGAGAGGGGAGUGAAAUAGAACCUGAAACCGUAUGCGUACAAGCAGUGGGAGCCCACUUUGUUGGGUGACUGCGUACCUUUUGUAUAAUGGGUCAGCGACUUAUUUUCAGUGGCGAGCUUAACCGAAUAGGGGAGGCGUAGCGAAAGCGAGUCUUAAUAGGGCGUUUAGUCGCUG
Molecule: ribosomal RNA, 232 nt
Filed under: Pseudomonas sp. 102515
Lineage: Bacteria; Pseudomonadati; Pseudomonadota; Gammaproteobacteria; Pseudomonadales; Pseudomonadaceae
Description: partial 23S ribosomal RNA
Rfam family: Bacterial large subunit ribosomal RNA
Source: RNAcentral